UGGGGAAUCUUGCGCAAUGGGCGGAAGCCUGACGCAGCAACGCCGCGUGAGGGAUGACGGCCUUCGGGUUGUGAAAUCCUCUUUCAGCGAUCGACGAAGGCCCUCCUUGUUGGGGGUUGGACGGUAGGUCGAGAAGAAGCACCGGCCAACUACGUGCCAGCAGCCGCGGUAAUACGUAGGGUGCGAGCGUUGUCCGGAAUUAUUGGGCGUAAAGAGCUCGUAGGCGGUGUGUCACGUCGGCCGUGAAAAACCUGGGGCUUAACUCUGGGCGUGCGGUCGAUACGGGCAUCACUAGAGUUCGGCAGGGGAGACUGGAAUUCCUGGUGUAGCGGUGAAAUGCGCAGAUAUCAGGAGGAACACCGGUGGCGAAGGC
Molecule: ribosomal RNA, 373 nt
Filed under: uncultured Actinomycetospora sp.
Lineage: Bacteria; Bacillati; Actinomycetota; Actinomycetes; Pseudonocardiales; Pseudonocardiaceae
Description: bacterial SSU rRNA
Rfam family: Bacterial small subunit ribosomal RNA
Source: RNAcentral